Molecule: long non-coding RNA, 370 nt
Filed under: Monodelphis domestica (gray short-tailed opossum)
Lineage: Eukaryota; Metazoa; Chordata; Mammalia; Didelphimorphia; Didelphidae
Description: lncRNA (ENSMODG00000045668.1)
Source: RNAcentral
GGAAGGAACCAAUGAACAGCUUAUUUGGGGACUGAAUUCUAUAUGGCACUUCCUCUUUCUUCCACUGAGUUGAACUGUUACUAAUGGAGUCAGUCAGUCAUGACUAAAAGAAAAGACAGGAUGAAGAACAACAACAUAGAGGUCUCUGUUGUUUUUUAGAAGUUAAAGAAGAGAUUUGUAUUGCUUAAUAAAAUGCCAACAAGGAAGAAAGGAAAGAACAGAGGAAGGGAACAAGAGAGGAAGAGAGAGACAGGAAAAAAGGAAGAAGGAAGGAAGAAAGGAAGGAAAGAUCAGAGAGAAAUGACAGAAAUGACAGAAGGAAGAUAUCAAGUAUUUUUAUUAAAAAUAAAAAUGUCCUUGAUCAAAACCU